AAAUUUAAACCUCUUACGGCUGGAAUUUCAAAAAUAUAUUACAAUUUUUUUGGUAAAAUAAUUUGAAAUUUUCAAAAACUAUAAUUUUUUGAAAAAUUUCAAAUUAGAACCGCUAACAAAAUUGUGUCAAAAAAAGCUUUUCAUUUCAUUUUCUCUUCAUGUUUUCUGUUUUCAGCCGGCUUUUCUUUUUGCAGCGAGAGCGCGUUGAAAGCUUCUGCGGAAAAGCCGGAAAGUGCGCGAGAGAGCGGCGUGGAAAGCUCUCGGAGCUUUACCGUUACCCAGCAAACGCAGCGAAUUCGCGAAAAAUGAAUAUCACGAAAAUGAACACCCGCCUUGCCUGCCAGCCUGUGUCUGACUUUUCCCGAGAGGGAAAAGCGGUCGGUCGGUCGCAUCUGUGUGUUGUUUCCUUUUCCGCUGAGUGUGUGUGAGUUUCCAACUUUUUUUUUUGUUCGCAUUUAUUUUUCUUGUGUGUACGGACGGCUCUGCCCUAGCAUCUCCGCCGCUUUUGGCUUUUCCGAGGACCGAGGACGAAAUGGAAAUGCCAACAAGUAGCAGUUCAGCAUUCGACGCGUUCGCUUGUUUUGCGGAACAGCGAAAGGCAGACAGGCAGCAGCUCAGCUAACGUUUCGAUAUUUUCGAAAAAAAGCCGAAACUAACGGUCACCGGAGUUUAUUUUCAAAAAACUGUCUUCAUUUUCGAGUUUUUUUUUUCGGUUCAAUUUCUUCAAAUGUGACUUUUUUAAAAAGUGAUUUGUUUUUUGGAAACUGAGAACAGAAACAGACUACAUUUUUGGAUAAAAGUGAACUUGAAGGCGAAAUUUAAACUGAACAGAGUUGCGAUUUGAAAAUAGCUGAUUGCCAAAAUGCAGACGAAUGUGCAAAUCGACUCGAAGAAUCUGCGCAGCAACGAUGACAACUUCCGUUCCCGUGGACAUCACAUUACCAUCGAGGCUCUGUUUUGGACGCGCUUGUUUAUUUUUCGUUUUGGUUUUUACUUGAAUAAACUGACGACUGCCGGCCCUACACAUACAUAUACAUAUUGACCUUGGAAUACUGUCCGCUGGCAUUAAAAUCGACGUCGGGGGAAAAUUCGUUGAGACGAGAAAAACGGAGACAGCAUUAAAAUUUUUUGCUGCAUACGCGUAGGCGCCGUCAACACGUGACGGGCAAAUCAAGUUUGAAAAUCCAGUCAGGGGGUGGAAAAAAUCACCAGCAGCUGCUUCAAGUCAGGUGUGCCUAUCCCCAAAAAAUCAUGCUUAGAAAAAAAGUUCGUUGAAUGUGGAACGAAAAGCAAACACGCAAAAAUUACACAUUUAAGGAGGAACAUUUUAUACAAUUUCUGUCCACCUUUUUUUAAAAAACACAUUUAUUUCUAAGAACAUUUAUACAGAUACCAAAAAUAACUCAAAAUCCUAAACGACAUUUCACAAACAAAAUUUCUUAAUAAAUAUUUUCAUUUGCUGCAUUUUGUU
This is a long non-coding RNA of Drosophila ananassae, 1471 nucleotides long. RefSeq lists it as uncharacterized. The transcript has 3 exons. NCBI's taxonomy places the organism in Eukaryota, Metazoa, Arthropoda, Insecta, Diptera, Drosophilidae. The record is from RefSeq and is a predicted model, not a curated record.